GUAUAAGUGUCUUGGAACAGACUAUCAAAGAGGGUCACAAUCCCGUACUUUACACAAUCAUCAGUGCUCUGUGAUACGUUCUCUACGAGUCGAGUUGUUUGGGAAUGCAGCUCAAAAUGGGUGGUAAAUUCCAUCUAAAGCUAAAUAUUGGCGAGAGACCGAUAGCGAACAAGUACCGUGAGGGAAAGAUGAAAAGCACUUUGGAAAGAGAGUUAAACAGUACGUGAAAUUGUUAAAAGGGAAACGAUUGAAGUCAGUCGUGUUUAUUGGAUUCAGCCGGUCUUCGGUGUACUUCCUUUAAACGGGUCAACAUCAGUUUUGUCCGGUGGAUAAAGGCAGUAGGAAUGUUUCUCCCUCGGGAGU
This 363-nucleotide ribosomal RNA is filed under the name Basidiomycota sp. MA5339. RNAcentral describes it as "eukaryotic LSU rRNA". It matches the Rfam family "Eukaryotic large subunit ribosomal RNA", at positions 179 to 552 of the family's 3401-position model. Lineage: Eukaryota; Fungi; Basidiomycota. The record is from RNAcentral.